GGCGGGCAGAAGAAUUGCCCUAGAAGGGCGCGGGGAGGUCCGUUUGAAAGUGUUUUUUCAACUUUGAUUUGACUCAGGACGGGGCGAGGAGGGCUGAGUUCAGUGAUGAAAAACGGCGCUCAUCCUGCCUCUGAAAUGGUCCUGCCCGGGAGGACCCUUCAACUGUGACUCUGUCCCGCGUCCCGGCGCCCCUCUCCUCGGUCCCCACACGGGGUCACUGAGCCGAACAAUCUGGCAGGGCUGCCGCAGCCGCGCAGUUACUAAGUCGGCAAAGGUCCCAAACGGAACAUGUUGAGAAGGAGAAGAGUGGCCCUGCCUCUUUGCAUUCCAGAUGAAGUCAGAGGCUGUCGCAUCUCCUGGGGGCCUCUUUCUUCCUCCUAAUUUGAGAUGCACUUUCAUCACAAAAUAAACUCUUAUACUCAGUGGAUCUAUGUCCAGACCUAUUCUGCUACCUGUCUCUUCCCGUGAUGAUAUCCCAUAGUGUGGUUAUUAUAAUUUUGGAAUAUAUUUUAAUGCCUGAUAGCACAAGGCCCCGACAUCAUUAUACUUUAUAAAAAAUUUCUUGCCAAUUCCCAAUCAUGUAAAUUUUUUCAGUUAAAUUAUAAAAUGAUUUUGUCAAACUCCUCCCCCUGCCCCCAACCCCAUCAGAAUUUCAGCUGGUGUUGCGUGAAAUGUGUUUACAUGGAGAAGAGCUGAUAUCUUUAUCCCAAGUUUUUCCGUUUAAGAAUGAAGUAAAUGUCUCCAUUUAUUCAA
Equus caballus (horse) is the source of this 753-nucleotide long non-coding RNA. RefSeq lists it as uncharacterized. Lineage: Eukaryota; Metazoa; Chordata; Mammalia; Perissodactyla; Equidae. The record is from RefSeq and is a predicted model, not a curated record.